Long non-coding RNA from Gavialis gangeticus (Gharial), 1669 nucleotides. RefSeq lists it as uncharacterized. The record is from RefSeq and is a predicted model, not a curated record. Lineage: Eukaryota; Metazoa; Chordata; Crocodylia; Gavialidae. The transcript has 3 exons.
GAAGAGGGGAAAAAAAGCUAUGACUAAGAUCAAGUGGGGGAAAUUGACUCCACAAAGCAGCCUUUUCCAAUGGUUCACACUCUGUUUUGCACUGGAGCCUGAAGUCUGAGUAUCUGCAGACUUUGCAUGUCUCCAGUGUAAGGAUCUCAUCUUGCCCUGAUUCUUUCAAAGGGCACUGAGUGAUCAGUCACAUCUUCAACCAAUUCCGCUGGAUCUGGGACAGCUCAGCUCUUCUGAAAUAGCAGGCCUGAAAUGUCUCUACCUCAGCUUUCCAAAAAUUGAAACACCAUAACAAAAAGAAAAAAAGAGUGGCUACGUGAAAAACUGUGACCCAAGUGUGCCCAUCCCGCUGGGCGCGGAGUGCCCCCAGCCGAGGCCUGGAAUGUUGAACAUCACAUCAGAGGCAUUUCACAUCUCCCCGGGAGGAGCCGAUGAGUCCAAAAAUGGAAGGGAGGGAAAAAACUUUUGGCUGAUACUGCAUGGUCACAUAUGGUUUGCUUUGGUAUUUUGGGACCCUGCGUGUAAUGAACAAAGGAGCCCUUUCAGGCUUGGGAACCCAGAACAGGAGGGAGACUUUUCUCUGAGGAGGUCAAAGCUUUCUGCUGCCUCACAACACUCCUAUUAUGUAUCCAGACAAGGAAACUGAGGCACAGAGCAGAGAAGCAACUUGUGGUGAAGGAAGAACAGCAGAGGAUGGAUCUGUCUGGACAGGCCCAGCAUAAAGACUCUGGACCAUAACUGCAGGACACUGGGCAAGACAGAUGUAGGGGCUGCAACAACAAGGCUGCUUUUCCUUUCUUAUGCCUGGAGGCACAGAUCAGUGGAGGGGAACCCCGGAGUCCUAUGCACUGCUGCUAUUUCUAACCACUCAACCACAUGCCCUCAAAAGUGAGCCAGCCUGCUCUGCAGCUGAUCCCUAGGCAGCAAGCUGCUGUGAGAUCAAGAGGAAGGAAAGUGCGGACAGGAGAGGGACUCCAACCCACAUCUGGACCUGCUUAUCCCCUCCCACAUGGAGUUAAUCCCAGUAAGACUUUGUCUUUCCCUGGUGAGACCAAACGGGCUUAUAUAAAGAGUAAUGAAACUUCCUGACCUCCCCAGGAGGUGGUUCACUAGUGUUACAGAGAGUGGAGAAACUAAGGAACUGGGAGAAAUAAAGCCACUUCACCAAAGUAAUGCCGUGAAUCAGAAGCAAAGCUGCAAAUUGAAGCCCAGCAUCCUGACUCCCUGCUGCUGGCUAAAGUUGAGACCCUUUAUUUUCUAAGGUGAUAUAUUUUAGAAGGGUGCCUGCAACGGCAGGAGCAGCUAGGACAUUUGUACUAAGAAAGCAUCAGCAGCCAAUGCUUGGGAAUUUAAUAAGUAGGUCUGAAUUCCUUCAUGGCUGCAAUCUGUUCCACCCACCCCACUGGAGGGACAGGUCUGGUUCCAGUCAGCCCCACAAAGGGGACUUCAUAGGGUCAGACUCCUUCACUGAAGUCAAUGAAGUUUUGCAGAGGGCCAACAACUCCAUGAGUUUAUGCUUCUCUCCACACAGUUUAUCUGUCAGAUGGGAGACACUUCCCAGCACUUUGUCUUGGGAGCUAUUCUUGCUCCUUUUGCUAGUGUCAUGCAAAAUUUUCUCACUUUUCUCCUCCCUCCCUUGGUCUCCCCUCCCUUCUCUUCUCCCUGCCAU